RNAcentral lists this ribosomal RNA (1245 nucleotides) under metagenome. RNAcentral describes it as "bacterial LSU rRNA". It matches the Rfam family "Bacterial large subunit ribosomal RNA", at positions 1564 to 2816 of the family's 2925-position model. The record is from RNAcentral.
UGAGUACGAGAUGCUACGGCAUCGAAGCAGUCUAUGUCAUACUUCCAAGAAAAGCUUGCAAUGUCAUAAACAAAUAAUGCCUGUACCAUAACCGACACAGGUGGGUAGGUAGAGUAUACUAAUGGGCGCGAGAUAACUCUCUCUAAGGAACUCGGCAAAAUGACUCCGUAACUUCGGGAGAAGGAGUGCCUUAUUUUUAUAAGGUUGCAAUAACAAGAUCCAAGCAACUGUUUACCAAAAACACAGGUCUCCGCUAAGUCGUAAGACGAUGUAUGGGGGCUGACGCCUGCCCAGUGCCAGAAGGUUAAAGAAGUUGGUUAGCAUUAGCGAAGCUGAUAACUGAAGCCCUGGUGAACGGCGGCCGUAACAAUAACGGUCCUAAGGUAGCGAAAUUCCUUGUCGGGUAAGUUCCGACCCGCACGAAAGGCGUAAUGAUUUGGAUACUGUCUCGGAGAGGGGCUCGGUGAAAUAGACUUGUCUGUGAAGAUGCGGACUACCUGCACCUGGACAGAAAGACCCUAUGAAGCUUUACUGUAACUUGAGAUUGAAAUUGGACUUUAUCUGCGCAGUAUAGGUGGGAGACGUUGAAAAUAUUCUUGCGGGAAUAUUGGAGUCAUCAGUGAGAUACCACUCUUAUAAUGUUAGAUUUCUAACUUUGUAUCAUUAUCUGGUCAAAGAACAGUUUCAGGCGGGCAGUUUGACUGGGGCGGUCGCCUCCCAAACGUUAACGGAGGCGCACAAAGGUUUCCUCUGAACGUGUAGAAAUCGUAUCUAGAGUGUAAAGGCAUAAGGAAGCUUGACUGUGAGACCUACAAGUCGAGCAGGGACGAAAGUCGGUCUUAGUGAUCUGACGGUGCUGAGUGGAAAGGCCGUCACUCAACGGAUAAAAGUUACUCUAAGGAUAACAGGCUGAUCUCCCCCAAGAGUUCACAUCGACGGGGAGGUUUGGCACCUCGAUGUCGGCUCAUCGCAUCCUGGGGCGGUAGUACGUCCCAAGGGUUGGGCUGUUCGCCUAUGAAAGCGGUACGCGAGCUGGGUUCAGAACGUCGUGAGACAGUUCGGUCCAUAUCCGGUGUAGGCGUUAGAAUAUUGAGAGGAGCCUUCUUUAGUACGAGAGGACCGAGAAGGACAUACCUCUGGUGUACCAGUUAUCGUGCCAACGGUAAACGCUGGGUAGCCAUGUAUGGAGAGGAUAUCCGCUGAAAGCAUCUAAGUGGGAAGCCCACCUCAAGAUAAGUAUUCUCC